AUAAUAGCAUGGAACAAUCAAAAAUUAUAGAUACAUUGGAGACGUAUCACCAAGCCUGUGGCACCCCGGCUCAGAGGAAACGGAAUGCCCCGUAUUCCAGCCCAAAGAUCGAGAUGAAGUCUUCUGGAAUACGGCACUGCUUAGCAUAGAACAAAUCAGCUCUUUAUUACAAUAUAUUUGGGUACAAGGGUUACAUCGGCACGGCAACACUACGCCUUCCACUCUUGCUCUAUGCAAGCAGCAGACAACUUGAAGCAGCGGAAUAACUCUAGCAGCGAAAAAACGACGACGGUGGUGAACUCCACUCCGCAGGGACUCUGGCUGGAACGCUUAUCCUAGCUCGCAAACAAAGAAUCCACGGCAAACAAGCAUUCAAAUCCGGCAUGACCUGCAAACUGGCAUGACACGCCAGGUCAGUACAUUGAAUGUACUUGCAAGCUCACAAUAACCAGAAGCAUUCAAGACAAACAACAACAUGACAAUUAUAGGUUAACAAUGAUUAACAUGAUAUCACCAGAACAACAUGGUAUGAACCACAUGAACAUAAUACAGCUAGCACAAUAUGAGCAUGGCAUGAACAUAAGAAUCUAAAGCUACUAGCAUGCAACAUGAUGACACUAUCAUGCACUACUUAUUCUGUUCGGGUUACCUCGUAACCAUCACAUGCAUCACUUACCAACCUUGGACAUCACACGAUCAUCUCAGGAUCAAAUCAAGCUUGGUAUAACCAAUACCGUAGUAAUCAUUAAAUGACCACAAGGGGCUUGAUCUUUACCCAUGAUUCUCGCUAAACAUCACGAAUAUCCAACAACUCAAUAUCCUCGAUACCACGGUGAUCACUCACGGAUCACAAACGGAACCACACUUGGUUCAACGGGUUACCUCGUAACCAAACGGGGAUCAUUCACGGAUCACAAACGGAACCACUCUUGGUCCAACGGGUUACCUCGUAACCAAACGGUGAUCAUUCACAGAUCACAUAAUCAACUUAUCUCAUCAUCGAACCGGGGUUGUUAUUAAGCACAUCAUUACUAUUACUGUUGACCCAUAGUGUGACCGUCACGAACUGCGCCCUUAUCCGCGGGCACGUCUAUCGAUAGUUUUAACACACACUCUACAGAGGUUGGCACAUUGUACCCACACCACGGAACCCAUGGCCUUGCACUCCCAUUCGGGUGGACCAACGGCGUUCUGACAAAACCGUCCUACUGCCAUGACACUCUCCCGGCCACUCCGACUAACUCCCACUGGGCUAAGUCAUGGGUGGCCCCGUGUCUACCCCAGACACCAACGGGCACCGUCGUGGCAAAACGGCCACAUCAUGGCAGAACGGUCCCAAACAGGGACAAGGAUCCAUACAACAACAACGGGCACACAAGGUUAUGUCUACUUACCGGGCCAGGGUACCGCAUGCCCAUAACCUUCCCUCGUUGGAGGCACCGGCGAGAGGCACGACAGUAGACCCAGUUAGG
Molecule: long non-coding RNA, 1472 nt
Filed under: Triticum aestivum (bread wheat)
Lineage: Eukaryota; Viridiplantae; Streptophyta; Magnoliopsida; Poales; Poaceae
Description: long non-coding RNA (TAES_LNC012175)
Source: RNAcentral